ACACGGACCAAGGAGUGCAACAUGUGCGCGAGCCGCUUGGCAAGUAAACCAGAAGGCGCAAUGAAAGUGAAGGCACGGCCGCCGUGCUGAGGUGAGAGCUGCCCCCGGGCGGCACAUCAUCGACCGAUCCUAUCCGCUCCCUCGUGGUGCGGCGGGAUUCGAGUAAGAGUGCAUCUGUUGCGACCCGAAAGAUGGUGAACUAUGCCUGAAUAGGGUGAAGCCAGAGGAAACUCUGGUGGAGGCCCGUAGCGAUUCUGACGUGCAAAUCGAUCGUCAAAUUUGGGUAUAGGGGCGAAAGACUAAUCGAACCAUCUAGUAGCUGGUUCCCUCCGAAGUUUCCCUCAGGAUAGCUGUAGCCCGAAGCAGUUUUAUCAGGUAAAGCGAAUGAUUAGAGGUAUCGGGGAAGAAACUUUCUCGACCUAUUCUCAAACUUUAAAUAGGUAAGAAGUCCGACUUGCUCAAUUUGAAGCCGGACACAGAAUGCUGGGUUACUAGUGGGCCAUUUUUGGUAAGCAGAACUGGCGAUGCGGGAUGAACCGAACGCCGAGUUAAGGUGCCAAAGUCGACGCUCAUCAGAUCCCACAAAAGGUGUUGGUUGAUAUAGACAGCAGGACGGUGGCCAUGGAAGUCGGAAUCCGCUAAGGAGUGUGUAACAACU
This 658-nucleotide ribosomal RNA is filed under the name Phyllospongia foliascens. Its description in RNAcentral is "Carteriospongia foliascens partial large subunit ribosomal RNA". It matches the Rfam family "Eukaryotic large subunit ribosomal RNA", at positions 659 to 1290 of the family's 3401-position model. Lineage: Eukaryota; Metazoa; Porifera; Demospongiae; Dictyoceratida; Thorectidae. The record is from RNAcentral.